AUGGUCGUCGCCGACACCUGCACCACCGUCGAUGUGUUGUGGCAAGACGGCACACUGCAACAUGGCAGACCUUCAGCGACUGUCGUCCCCUUUGGGAUCCGGAAUGAGCAAGAGUUCUUCCCGGGACAACAUGUUGUCGCCAACAUUCUCCCUAUUAGUGUUGCCGUUGACAGUACUGGUGACCAUGAUGAUGUGAUAACUACUAGUGUCAACAAUGACAUUCCUGCGUCUGGAACUAUACCAACAGAGCAUGUGGGCAUCGUCAAGAGCCUGCAAUACAAGGACCAGAUGGUUUGUCUAUCAUGGUUCAAGACGUCAGGGCACCCAGAUGAGGUUAGGGAGGUCGAUUGCGACCAAACCGUCAGUGCUUACGACCUAAACUUGGACUCUAACCACUCUACUUACUAUGGUGAUAUUGUCAUUUGUAUCCUACCAUCGGGAUCAACAGAUGACAGUGAAAGUGCACCCUUCUUGCCGGGAAACAAGAAGAAAAAUGCCAUUUCUGCCGAUCUUUCAUGGGUGGGGCGGGUAGUUGAACUUCCUAAUGGGCACAUCCAAGUCAAGUGGGGUGAUGGUAGCAUGUUAACGGUAUCGCCCCAUGAGAUUGUUGUCAUCAAGGACAAGCACUACAUGGAGCUAUGGCUUGAAAUGGGCGACUGGGUAGAGGACAACGGCAUCGAUGACGCACCCGAAGAACCGGUUGCUGCCAACACGGAAAUUGAUCUUCAGAAUCUAGAUAACGAUGUCGAAAGCAUCAGCCCGAUAAUGUCAAGGACAAACAUUUUAGGUUUUUCAUUCGGGUCUUUGCUCUAA
Molecule: ribosomal RNA, 813 nt
Filed under: Triticum aestivum (bread wheat)
Lineage: Eukaryota; Viridiplantae; Streptophyta; Magnoliopsida; Poales; Poaceae
Description: partial small subunit ribosomal RNA
Source: RNAcentral